This 445-nucleotide ribosomal RNA is filed under the name uncultured bacterium. RNAcentral's name for it is "bacterial SSU rRNA". It matches the Rfam family "Bacterial small subunit ribosomal RNA", at positions 354 to 796 of the family's 1533-position model. The record is from RNAcentral.
GUAAGGAAUAUUGGACAAUGGACGCAAGUCUGAUCCAGCCAUGCCGCGUGAAGGAUUAAGGUCCUCUGGAUUGUAAACUUCUUUUAUAAGGGACGAAAAAAGGCUUUUCUAAGUCGUCUGACGGUACCUUAUGAAUAAGCACCGGCUAACUCCGUGCCAGCAGCCGCGGUAAUACGGAGGGUGCAAGCGUUAUCAGGAUUCACUGGGUUUAAAGGGUGCGUAGGCGGGCAGGUAAGUCAGUGGUGAAAUCCUAGAGCUUAACUCUAGAACUGCCAUUGAUACUAUCUGUCUUGAAUAUUGUGGAGGUAAGCGGAAUAUGUCAUGUAGCGGUGAAAUGCUUAGAUAUGACAUAGAACACCUAUUGCGAAGGCAGCUUACUACGCAUAUAUUGACGCUGAGGCACGAAAGCGUGGGGAUCAAACAGGAUUAGAUACCCGGGUAGUCC